UACGAAGGGGACUAGCGUUGUUCGGAAUCACUGGGCGUAAAGCGCACGUAGGCGGACUCUUAAGUCGGUGGUGAAAUCCUGGAGCUCAACUCCAGAACUGCCUUCGAUACUGAGAGUCUCGAGUCCGAGAGAGGUGAGUGGAACUGCGAGUGUAGAGGUGAAAUUCGUAGAUAUUCGCAAGAACACCAGUGGCGAAGGCGGCUCACUGGCUCGGUACUGACGCUGAGGUGCGAAAGCGUGGGGAGCAAACAGG
This 253-nucleotide ribosomal RNA is filed under the name uncultured bacterium. RNAcentral's name for it is "partial 16S ribosomal RNA". It matches the Rfam family "Bacterial small subunit ribosomal RNA", at positions 524 to 776 of the family's 1533-position model. The record is from RNAcentral.